Papilio xuthus (Asian swallowtail) is the source of this 427-nucleotide long non-coding RNA. RefSeq lists it as uncharacterized. The transcript has 3 exons. The record is from RefSeq and is a predicted model, not a curated record. NCBI's taxonomy places the organism in Eukaryota, Metazoa, Arthropoda, Insecta, Lepidoptera, Papilionidae.
AUUUACAAAUGAAAUUGAGAUAGAAAUGAUUUUUUAAAAAAAUUACUGUUUGCAUUACUUUUUGGUUUUAGAUUAAUUUUUAUUUUUAUUCAUUUAAAAUGUCGUCAAAAGCAUGUUACGAAACUAUGCCACUGUGCGUGAAAUAUCACGCGGCCGGCAUCAAGUCCGGUCCGCGCGACGGCAACCCUCCUUCGCAGUAUCCCUACCCACUCUGCUGCCAAGCAUAUUGGUGUAAUUCCUACAAUACGUGUAAUAAUCCCUGUCUGCGAUGGAUGUGAACAAAAGCGAAAUGAGCAAUAAAAAUAUGAAUUAUAAUCUUAAACCUUAAAUGUAAUUAUAAAAAUAGUUUGAAAAUAAUAACAAUAAAAAGGGAAAUGGAAUUUUAUUUAUCGUUAAAUAAAUCAAGAGUUUGUAUGUCUGUCCACAA